Long non-coding RNA from Xiphophorus hellerii (green swordtail), 424 nucleotides. RefSeq lists it as uncharacterized. The record is from RefSeq and is a predicted model, not a curated record. The transcript is spliced from 3 exons. Lineage: Eukaryota; Metazoa; Chordata; Actinopteri; Cyprinodontiformes; Poeciliidae.
UUGAAACUUUAACUCUGUCCUGAGGUUUGUCAGCUUUUCUCCACUAGAGGGAGCCUGAGACCUUCUGUGGGCGUGAGUCGGCGUCUGCACACCUGUCCUCCAUCUACUCAUUUGGAGGCAUAUAAAUGGAGGAGGAUGCUGACACUUCUCUGCCAGAGUGUUAGCCUGUAACGCUACCCUGGUCUGGAGCUAUCAGGUCAUCAGUCGCCCUCGAGACGGAACCCUCACCGCCUUGAGCCUUACCUGUCCGUCCUCUGCCGCCGCCUCUGAUUUCGACCCUCAACCCGCUGACCAGCCUCUAGACCCUCAAGGUCCUCUCCCGGUCCAAUACUUCCCCCCGAACAGUUGCCCUGAGAUCUGCCAGACGAACCGGGAUCCUAAUUCCUUUUGUUUGAAUUCACUGUAAAUAAAUCACACUAUUGUA